GAUGAAGAACGCAGCGAAAUGCGAUAAGUAAUGUGAAUUGCAGAAUUCAGUGAAUCAUCGAAUCUUUGAACGCACAUUGCGCCCCUUGGUAUUCCGAGGGGCAUGCCUGUUCGAGCGUCAUUUCAACCCUCAAGCACAGCUUGGUCUUGGGCUUCGCCGCUAACCCGGCGGGUCUUAAAAUCAGUGGCGGUGCCGUCGGGCCCUGAGCGCAGUAAUUCCUCUCGCUAUAGGGUCCCGGCGGAUGCUGGCCAGUAACCCCCAAUUUUCUAUGGUUGACCUCGGAUCAGGUAGGGAUACCCGCUGAACUUAAGCAUAUCAAUAAGCGGAGGA
Molecule: unclassified non-coding RNA, 330 nt
Filed under: soil metagenome
Description: partial contains 5.8S ribosomal RNA, internal transcribed spacer 2, and large subunit ribosomal RNA
Rfam family: 5.8S ribosomal RNA (bases 1-120)
Source: RNAcentral